CUACGUGCCAGCAGCCGCGGUAAUACGUAGGUGGCAAGCGUUGUCCGGAAUUAUUGGGCGUAAAGCGCGCGCAGGCGGAUUGGUCAGUCUGUCUUAAAAGUUCGGGGCUUAACCCCGUGAUGGGAUGGAAACUGCCAAUCUAGAGUAUCAGAGAGGAAAGUGGAAUUCCUAGUGUAGCGGUGAAAUGCGUAGAUAUUAGGAAGAACACCAGUGGCGAAGGCGACUUUCUGGACGAAAACUGACGCUGAGGCGCGAAAGCCAGGGGAGCGAACGGGAUUAGAUACCCCGGUAGUCCUGGCCGUAAACGAUGGGUACUAGGUGUAGGAGGUAUCGACCCCUUCUGUGCCGGAGUUAACGCAAUAAGUACCCCGCCUGGGGAGUACGACCGCAAGGUUGAAACUCAAAGGAAUUGACGGGGGCCCGCACAAGCGGUGGAGUAUGUGGUUUAAUUCGACGCAACGCGAAGAACCUUACCAGGUCUUGACAU
RNAcentral lists this ribosomal RNA (487 nucleotides) under uncultured bacterium. RNAcentral describes it as "bacterial SSU rRNA". It matches the Rfam family "Bacterial small subunit ribosomal RNA", at positions 501 to 987 of the family's 1533-position model. The record is from RNAcentral.